GUGGGGAAUAUUGCACAAUGGGGGAAACCCUGAUGCAGCGACGCCGCGUGAGCGAAGAAGUAUUUCGGUAUGUAAAGCUCUAUCAGCAGGGAAGAAAAUGACGGUACCUGAGUAAGAAGCUCCGGCUAAAUACGUGCCAGCAGCCGCGGUAAUACGUAUGGAGCAAGCGUUAUCCGGAUUUACUGGGUGUAAAGGGAGCGCAGGCGGCCAGGCAAGUCUGAUGUGAAAUACCGGGGCUCAACCCCGGAACUGCAUUGGAAACUGUCAGGCUGGAGUGUCGGAGAGGCAGGCGGAAUUCCUGGUGUAGCGGUGAAAUGCGUAGAUAUCAGGAGGAACACCAGUGGCGAAGGCGGCCUGCUGGACGAUGACUGACGCUGAGGCUCGAAAGCGUGGGGAGCAAAUAGGA
This 406-nucleotide ribosomal RNA is filed under the name uncultured bacterium. RNAcentral's name for it is "bacterial SSU rRNA". It matches the Rfam family "Bacterial small subunit ribosomal RNA", at positions 354 to 777 of the family's 1533-position model. The record is from RNAcentral.